AGUAGUCAUACGCUUGUCUCAAAGAUUAAGCCAUGCAUGUGUAAGUGUAAAUAUACUAGUUUGGAACUGCGAAUGGCUCAUUAUAUCAGUUAUAGUUUAUUUGGUGAAGUGUACUACUUGGAUAACCGUAGUAAUUCUAGGGCUAAUACAUGAGAAAGUCCUCUGGUGAGGUGUGUUUAUUAGAAUGAAAACCAUAUGCUUCGGCAUGAUAGUGAGUAAUAGUAACCUAUCGUAUCGCAUGCUUAAUGUAGCGAUGAGUCUUUCAAGUUUCUGCCCUAUCAGCUUUCGAUGGUAGAUAUGGGCCUACCAUGGCAGUAACGGGUAACGAAGAA
RNAcentral lists this ribosomal RNA (332 nucleotides) under Blastocystis sp. subtype 1. RNAcentral describes it as "SSU rRNA". It matches the Rfam family "Eukaryotic small subunit ribosomal RNA", at positions 19 to 369 of the family's 1831-position model. The record is from RNAcentral. Lineage: Eukaryota; Bigyra; Opalinata; Blastocystidae.